This 2896-nucleotide ribosomal RNA is filed under the name Escherichia coli. Its description in RNAcentral is "bacterial LSU rRNA". It matches the Rfam family "Bacterial large subunit ribosomal RNA". The record is from RNAcentral. Lineage: Bacteria; Pseudomonadati; Pseudomonadota; Gammaproteobacteria; Enterobacterales; Enterobacteriaceae.
UUAAGCGACUAAGCGUACACGGUGGAUGCCCUGGCAGUCAGAGGCGAUGAAGGACGUGCUAAUCUGCGAUAAGCGUCGGUAAGGUGAUAUGAACCGUUAUAACCGGCGAUUUCCGAAUGGGGAAACCCAGUGUGUUUCGACACACUAUCAUUAACUGAAUCCAUAGGUUAAUGAGGCGAACCGGGGGAACUGAAACAUCUAAGUACCCCGAGGAAAAGAAAUCAACCGAGAUUCCCCCAGUAGCGGCGAGCGAACGGGGAGCAGCCCAGAGCCUGAAUCAGUGUGUGUGUUAGUGGAAGCGUCUGGAAAGGCGCGCGAUACAGGGUGACAGCCCCGUACACAAAAAUGCACAUGCUGUGAGCUCGAUGAGUAGGGCGGGACACGUGGUAUCCUGUCUGAAUAUGGGGGGACCAUCCUCCAAGGCUAAAUACUCCUGACUGACCGAUAGUGAACCAGUACCGUGAGGGAAAGGCGAAAAGAACCCCGGCGAGGGGAGUGAAAAAGAACCUGAAACCGUGUACGUACAAGCAGUGGGAGCACAGAGCAAUCUGUGUGACUGCGUACCUUUUGUAUAAUGGGUCAGCGACUUAUAUUCUGUAGCAAGGUUAACCGAAUAGGGGAGCCGAAGGGAAACCGAGUCUUAACUGGGCGUUAAGUUGCAGGGUAUAGACCCGAAACCCGGUGAUCUAGCCAUGGGCAGGUUGAAGGUUGGGUAACACUAACUGGAGGACCGAACCGACUAAUGUUGAAAAAUUAGCGGAUGACUUGUGGCUGGGGGUGAAAGGCCAAUCAAACCGGGAGAUAGCUGGUUCUCCCCGAAAGCUAUUUAGGUAGCGCCUCGUGAAUUCAUCUCCGGGGGUAGAGCACUGUUUCGGCAAGGGGGUCAUCCCGACUUACCAACCCGAUGCAAACUGCGAAUACCGGAGAAUGUUAUCACGGGAGACACACGGCGGGUGCUAACGUCCGUCGUGAAGAGGGAAACAACCCAGACCGCCAGCUAAGGUCCCAAAGUCAUGGUUAAGUGGGAAACGAUGUGGGAAGGCCCAGACAGCCAGGAUGUUGGCUUAGAAGCAGCCAUCAUUUAAAGAAAGCGUAAUAGCUCACUGGUCGAGUCGGCCUGCGCGGAAGAUGUAACGGGGCUAAACCAUGCACCGAAGCUGCGGCAGCGACGCUUAUGCGUUGUUGGGUAGGGGAGCGUUCUGUAAGCCUGUGAAGGUGUGCUGUGAGGCAUGCUGGAGGUAUCAGAAGUGCGAAUGCUGACAUAAGUAACGAUAAAGCGGGUGAAAAGCCCGCUCGCCGGAAGACCAAGGGUUCCUGUCCAACGUUAAUCGGGGCAGGGUGAGUCGACCCCUAAGGCGAGGCCGAAAGGCGUAGUCGAUGGGAAACAGGUUAAUAUUCCUGUACUUGGUGUUACUGCGAAGGGGGGACGGAGAAGGCUAUGUUGGCCGGGCGACGGUUGUCCCGGUUUAAGCGUGUAGGCUGGUUUUCCAGGCAAAUCCGGAAAAUCAAGGCUGAGGCGUGAUGACGAGGCACUACGGUGCUGAAGCAACAAAUGCCCUGCUUCCAGGAAAAGCCUCUAAGCAUCAGGUAACAUCAAAUCGUACCCCAAACCGACACAGGUGGUCAGGUAGAGAAUACCAAGGCGCUUGAGAGAACUCGGGUGAAGGAACUAGGCAAAAUGGUGCCGUAACUUCGGGAGAAGGCACGCUGAUAUGUAGGUGAAGUCCCUCGCGGAUGGAGCUGAAAUCAGUCGAAGAUACCAGCUGGCUGCAACUGUUUAUUAAAAACACAGCACUGUGCAAACACGAAAGUGGACGUAUACGGUGUGACGCCUGCCCGGUGCCGGAAGGUUAAUUGAUGGGGUUAGCGCAAGCGAAGCUCUUGAUCGAAGCCCCGGUAAACGGCGGCCGUAACUAUAACGGUCCUAAGGUAGCGAAAUUCCUUGUCGGGUAAGUUCCGACCUGCACGAAUGGCGUAAUGAUGGCCAGGCUGUCUCCACCCGAGACUCAGUGAAAUUGAACUCGCUGUGAAGAUGCAGUGUACCCGCGGCAAGACGGAAAGACCCCGUGAACCUUUACUAUAGCUUGACACUGAACAUUGAGCCUUGAUGUGUAGGAUAGGUGGGAGGCUUUGAAGUGUGGACGCCAGUCUGCAUGGAGCCGACCUUGAAAUACCACCCUUUAAUGUUUGAUGUUCUAACGUUGACCCGUAAUCCGGGUUGCGGACAGUGUCUGGUGGGUAGUUUGACUGGGGCGGUCUCCUCCUAAAGAGUAACGGAGGAGCACGAAGGUUGGCUAAUCCUGGUCGGACAUCAGGAGGUUAGUGCAAUGGCAUAAGCCAGCUUGACUGCGAGCGUGACGGCGCGAGCAGGUGCGAAAGCAGGUCAUAGUGAUCCGGUGGUUCUGAAUGGAAGGGCCAUCGCUCAACGGAUAAAAGGUACUCCGGGGAUAACAGGCUGAUACCGCCCAAGAGUUCAUAUCGACGGCGGUGUUUGGCACCUCGAUGUCGGCUCAUCACAUCCUGGGGCUGAAGUAGGUCCCAAGGGUAUGGCUGUUCGCCAUUUAAAGUGGUACGCGAGCUGGGUUUAGAACGUCGUGAGACAGUUCGGUCCCUAUCUGCCGUGGGCGCUGGAGAACUGAGGGGGGCUGCUCCUAGUACGAGAGGACCGGAGUGGACGCAUCACUGGUGUUCGGGUUGUCAUGCCAAUGGCACUGCCCGGUAGCUAAAUGCGGAAGAGAUAAGUGCUGAAAGCAUCUAAGCACGAAACUUGCCCCGAGAUGAGUUCUCCCUGACNGUCCUGAAGGAACGUUGAAGACGACGACGUUGAUAGGCCGGGUGUGUAAGCGCAGCGAUGCGUUGAGCUAACCGGUACUAAUGAACCGUGAGGCUUAACCUU